RNAcentral lists this ribosomal RNA (497 nucleotides) under uncultured bacterium. RNAcentral describes it as "partial 16S ribosomal RNA". It matches the Rfam family "Bacterial small subunit ribosomal RNA", at positions 28 to 507 of the family's 1533-position model. The record is from RNAcentral.
GAUGAACGCUGGCGGCGUGCCUAAUACAUGCAAGUCGAACGCAUAGCGAAAGGUGCUUGCACCUUUCAAGUGAGUGGCGAACGGGUGAGUAACACGUGGACAACCUGCCUCAAGGCUGGGGAUAACAUUUGGAAACAGAUGCUAAUACCGAAUAAAACUUAGUGUCGCAUGACACAAAGUUAAAAGGCGCUUCGGCGUCACCUAGAGAUGGAUCCGCGGUGCAUUAGUUAGUUGGUGGGUUAAAGGCCUACCAAGACAAUGAUGCAUAGCCGAGUUGAGAGACUGAUCGGCCACAUUGGGACUGAGACACGGCCCAAACUCCGUCGGGAGGCUGCAGUAGGGAAACUUCCGCAAUGGGCGAAAGCCUGAUGGAGCAACGCCGCGUGUGUGAUGAAGGCUUUCUGGUCGUAAAGCACUGUUGUAUGGGAAGAACAGCUAGAAUAGGAAAUGAUUUUAGUUUGACGGUACCCUACCAGAAAGGGACGGCUAAAUACGUG